UGGGGAAUCUUGGACAAUGGGGGCAACCCUGAUCCAGCGAUGCCGCGUGGGUGAAGAAGGCCUUCGGGUUGUAAAGCCCUUUAGGCUGGGAAGAAGGAAUUGGGAUGAAUAAUCCUGAUUUUUGACGGUACCAGCAGAAUAAGCACCGGCAAACUCUGUGCCAGCAGCCGCGGUAAUACAGAGGGUGCGAGCGUUAAUCGGAUUUACUGGGCGUAAAGGGCGCGUAGGCGGUUGUAUGAGUGUGAUGUGAAAGCCCCGGGCUCAACCUGGGAAGUGCAUCGCAAACGAUACGACUAGAGUAUAUGAGAGGGUGGCGGAAUUUCCGGUGUAGCGGUGAAAUGCGUAGAGAUCGGAAGGAACGUCAAUGGCGAAGGCAGCCACCUGGCAUAAUACUGACGCU
Molecule: ribosomal RNA, 400 nt
Filed under: uncultured bacterium
Lineage: Bacteria
Description: bacterial SSU rRNA
Rfam family: Bacterial small subunit ribosomal RNA
Source: RNAcentral